AGCGAACGCUGGCGGCAGGCCUAACACAUGCAAGUCGAACGAACUCUUCGGAGUUAGUGGCGGACGGGUGAGUAACACGUGGGAACGUGCCUUUAGGUUCGGAAUAACUCAGGGAAACUUGUGCUAAUACCGAAUGUGCCCUUCGGGGGAAAGAUUUAUCGCCUUUAGAGCGGCCCGCGUCUGAUUAGCUAGUUGGUGAGGUAAAGGCUCACCAAGGCGACGAUCAGUAGCUGGUCUGAGAGGAUGAUCAGCCACAUUGGGACUGUGACACGGCCCAAACUCCUGCGGGAGACAGCAGUGGGGAAUCUUGCGCAAUGGGCGAAAGCCUGACGCAGCCAUGCCGCGUGAAUGAUGAAGGUCUUAGGAUUGUAAAAUUCUUUCACCGGGGACGAUAAUGACGGUACCCGGAGAAGAAGCCCCGGCUAACUUCGUGCCAGCAGCCGCCGUAA
RNAcentral lists this ribosomal RNA (449 nucleotides) under uncultured bacterium. Its description in RNAcentral is "partial 16S ribosomal RNA". It matches the Rfam family "Bacterial small subunit ribosomal RNA", at positions 29 to 523 of the family's 1533-position model. The record is from RNAcentral.